Molecule: ribosomal RNA, 468 nt
Filed under: uncultured bacterium
Lineage: Bacteria
Description: partial 16S ribosomal RNA
Rfam family: Bacterial small subunit ribosomal RNA
Source: RNAcentral
GACGAACGCUGGCGGCGUGCUUAACACAUGCAAGUCGAACGGAAAGGCCCUGCUUUUGUGGGGUGCUCGAGUGGCGAACGGGUGAGUAACACGUGAGUAACCUGCCCUUGACUUUGGGAUAACUUCAGGAAACUGGGGCUAAUAUCGGAUAGGAGCUCCUGCUGCAUGGUGGGGGUUGGAAAGUUUCGGCGGUUGGGGAUGGACUCGCGGCUUAUCAGCUUGUUGGUGGGGUAGUGGCUUACCAAGGCUUUGACGGGUAGCCGGCCUGAGAGGGUGACCGGCCACAUUGGGACUGAGGUACGGCCCAGACUCCUACGGGAGGCAGCAGUGGGGAAUAUUGCACAAUGGGCGGAAGCCUGAUACAGCAACGCCGCGUGCGGGAUGACGGCCUUCGGGUUGUAAACCGCUUUCGCCUGUUACGAAGCGUGAGUGACGGUAAUGGGUAAAGAAGCACCGGCUAACUACGUG